Molecule: ribosomal RNA, 301 nt
Filed under: uncultured bacterium
Lineage: Bacteria
Description: partial 16S ribosomal RNA
Rfam family: Bacterial small subunit ribosomal RNA
Source: RNAcentral
CAGCAGCCGCGGUAAUACGAAGGGUGCAAGCGUUACUCGGAAUUACUGGGCGUAAAGCGUGCGUAGGUGGUGGUUUAAGUCCGUUGUAAAAGCCCUGGGCUCAACCUGGGAAUUGCAGUGGAUACUGGGUCACUAGAGUGUGGUGGAGGAUAGUGGAAUUUCCGGUGUAGCAGUGAAAUGCGUAGAGAUCGGAAGGAACAUCUGUGGCGAAGGCGACUAUCUGGGACAACACUGACGCUGAGGCACGAAAGCGUGGGGAGCAAACAGGAUUAGAUACCCCUGUAGUCCCUGUCUCUUAUAC